CAUUUUCCGCAGGCUGGAUAUAAAAGGCCUUCUUUUAUACAAUAUAGAGAGGAUUAGCAUGGCCCCUGUGUAAGGAUGACUCACAGACCUGUGAAGUCUUCCAUAUUUUU
Arvicanthis niloticus (Nile rat) is the source of this 110-nucleotide small nuclear RNA. NCBI's taxonomy places the organism in Eukaryota, Metazoa, Chordata, Mammalia, Rodentia, Muridae. The record is from RefSeq and is a predicted model, not a curated record.